CCGACAAGUACUGUAAAGCUUAUCAAUUAAUAUUAGUGUCUUUACAUUUGUAGAGACACUAAUACUAGUUAGUGCCGAAAGUUAUUAAACCGAAUGGAUUUAUAGUAGGUAAUUAAGUUGAAUUGACAACUUCCCUCAAGUGCUAUAUGCCGUAGGGUGGAAAAACAACGUGCCACUGAUCA
RNAcentral lists this non-coding RNA (182 nucleotides) under unclassified sequences. RNAcentral's name for it is "RAGATH-22 RNA". It matches the Rfam family "RAGATH-22 RNA". From Rfam's summary of the family: Veillonella (Firmicutes). Nearby to self-cleaving ribozyme genes The record is from Rfam by way of RNAcentral.